AAGACUAUAGACCUGCGGAGUACCUGCGGAAGGAUCAUUACCGAGUGCGGGCCCUCUGGGUCCAACCUCCCACCCGUGUUUAUUGUACCUUGUUGCUUCGGCGGGCCCGCCAUUCUGGCCGCCGGGGGCUUGCCCCCGGGCCCGCGCCCGCCGAAGACACCCUCGAACUCUGUCUGAAGAUUGUAGUCUGAGUGGAAUUAUAAAUUAUUAAAACUUUCAACAAUGGAUCUCUAGAUCGGA
RNAcentral lists this unclassified non-coding RNA (240 nucleotides) under soil metagenome. Its description in RNAcentral is "partial contains 5.8S ribosomal RNA, internal transcribed spacer 2, and large subunit ribosomal RNA". The record is from RNAcentral.